Molecule: ribosomal RNA, 174 nt
Filed under: Collimonas sp. OK412
Lineage: Bacteria; Pseudomonadati; Pseudomonadota; Betaproteobacteria; Burkholderiales; Oxalobacteraceae
Description: 16S rRNA. Bacterial SSU
Rfam family: Bacterial small subunit ribosomal RNA
Source: RNAcentral
GUGAAUACGUUCCCGGGUCUUGUACACACCGCCCGUCACACCAUGGGAGCGGGUUUUACCAGAAGUAGGUAGCCUAACCGUAAGGAGGGCGCUUACCACGGUAGGAUUCGUGACUGGGGUGAAGUCGUAACAAGGUAGCCGUAUCGGAAGGUGCGGCUGGAUCACCUCCUUUCU